AUGGAAGGAGCACGGUGCCACGUAGCCAGGCAGUGUUUGCUGAACUUUUUCUGGCUUGCAUGUGCAGUCCAAAUUUCAAAUAUUUCCAAGAAAUUGCCUCUACAAAUGCAAGACAUAAUAAUGAAACAACAAGGAUUGAAAACUACUUGGAAAUGUCCAGGCAGCAGCUUCAUGGCUCUGAGCAGCAAUAAGUACAACAGUGCAGAACUGAGUGCUGACCACAGAAAUGCUGCCAACACAAAACUGUGCAGCAGGACAGCCACAGCUGUGCACCGGGAGUCUGCAGGAGGAUCCACCACGUCACAGGUGAGUGAGGUGGAACUGGCAUCAUAAGGGAGGUAUUGCUGGUAGCAUCUGGUGGUAUCGUCACUGCACUUCCUGGAAGUUUAAUUUUCAGUUCCAGAGAUGAAGGUGAUUUUAAAAAUGAGCAGAGAAAAGCAGAGAUCACUAACAUCCACUUUACAGAUAAGUUUCAAAUUUUCCUAUUGAUAGAGAUAUGUUUAGGAGAAAAAAGGAAGAAAAAAAUGAGAAAAAUUGUAACAUAUUUUCUCAUUUUCAUUUAUACUAAAAGCAAGUUAGAGAGGAGAAACUUUAAUACAGAAACCAAAACAAUAAGUUGUUUGCAGAAUUACACCGUUACUCUCAGCUUAACAAAUCCAUCAGUUUUGUCUGACUUCGAUUAGAACGGAGACUAUGCAGCACCUUUUAGGACUGGGCCUUGACUGACAGCAGUUUGGGAUACAUUUUAAUUUUUCCCCUCUGUUCUUUUUGGAAUCCUUUUCUUCAGUAUUAGGAGGUGAGGUAGCAUAAAACAAGUACUUCUAACUGUUCUCCAAAGUGCAAGAGAAUAAUAAAGCUCCAUUUCCAAACUUUGUUUUAUCUCUG
This 885-nucleotide long non-coding RNA is filed under the name Cyanistes caeruleus (blue tit). Its description in RNAcentral is "lncRNA (ENSCCEG00000015692.1)". The record is from RNAcentral. Lineage: Eukaryota; Metazoa; Chordata; Aves; Passeriformes; Paridae.